Molecule: ribosomal RNA, 732 nt
Filed under: uncultured Citrobacter sp.
Lineage: Bacteria; Pseudomonadati; Pseudomonadota; Gammaproteobacteria; Enterobacterales; Enterobacteriaceae
Description: bacterial SSU rRNA
Rfam family: Bacterial small subunit ribosomal RNA
Source: RNAcentral
CAAAAAAUGUCGACUUGGAGGUUGUUCCCUUGAGGAGUGGCUUCCGGAGCUAACGCGUUAAGUCGACCGCCUGGGGAGUACGGCCGCAAGGUUAAAACUCAAAUGAAUUGACGGGGGCCCGCACAAGCGGUGGAGCAUGUGGUUUAAUUCGAUGCAACGCGAAGAACCUUACCUGGUCUUGACAUCCACAGAAUUCUGCAGAGAUGCGGAAGUGCCUUCGGGAACUGUGAGACAGGUGCUGCAUGGCUGUCGUCAGCUCGUGUUGUGAAAUGUUGGGUUAAGUCCCGCAACGAGCGCAACCCUUAUCCUUUGUUGCCAGCGGUUAGGCCGGGAACUCAAAGGAGACUGCCAGUGAUAAACUGGAGGAAGGUGGGGAUGACGUCAAGUCAUCAUGGCCCUUACGACCAGGGCUACACACGUGCUACAAUGGCAUAUACAAAGAGAAGCGACCUCGCGAGAGCAAGCGGACCUCAUAAAGUAUGUCGUAGUCCGGAUCGGAGUCUGCAACUCGACUCCGUGAAGUCGGAAUCGCUAGUAAUCGUGGAUCAGAAUGCCACGGUGAAUACGUUCCCGGGCCUUGUACACACCGCCCGUCACACCAUGGGAGUGGGUUGCAAAAGAAGUAGGUAGCUUAACCUUCGGGAGGGCGCUUACCACUUUGUGAUUCAUGACUGGGGUGAAGUCGUACAAAGGGUAACCAAAGGGGGGGGCGCGCAGGGGGGUUAGAGGAAA